GGUCUCAUGGUCUAGUGGUUAGGACAUUGGACUUUGAAUCCAGUAUCUCGAGUUCAAAUCUCGGCGAGACCU
RNAcentral lists this transfer RNA (72 nucleotides) under Ipomoea nil (Japanese morning glory). It matches the Rfam family "tRNA". Rfam says of the family: Transfer RNA (tRNA) molecules are approximately 80 nucleotides in length. The record is from Rfam by way of RNAcentral. Lineage: Eukaryota; Viridiplantae; Streptophyta; Magnoliopsida; Solanales; Convolvulaceae.